GGUUGCCGGUGCUACGUGUUAUUUUCACUUCUUGAGAUGAUCUAUGAGGACCCAUUCCUCUGCAUCACCAUGCAGGAUUAUGGGUCCACUACAGCCUGUCCCUGCACAGGACUUGGGACAAGAGGCGAGGCGCACACUGGACUGGUCUCGCCAGGGAUCAAAGACCUUCUUUGACCGAAGGAUCCCUCACACAUGCAGCGUGUCGAAAGAUGUGUGAAGAGAAUACAUCAAACUGCCUGGAGCUUCCCCGAACUUAGCGUAACCGCAAACAGACUUUUUCAAGCAGGUUCGUGCUGACCUCUGACAGGUUCAAAGGGGUCCUCGGGCGCAUCCACGAAGUGCGGCUCUGCUCUGUGGACACCGUUUGAGAUGACGCUUGGUGUAGAUGUUGUGCAUUCUAGGAAGUCUUUGUGUAGACAUGCUAUUAAGUCACCCCACAUGGGGAGGGAGGAACUUCUGUCUCUGUCAAGUGUUGUUACUAGUUGUUUUGCUGCAAAAUCGUUGCACUGCGAAAAAAGGUGUGGCGACGCAGCAGUGGAACUGUAUCAUAUUACUUUUGGGAAAUAUGAUGUUUUCACCAGGA
Long non-coding RNA from Syngnathoides biaculeatus (alligator pipefish), 583 nucleotides. RefSeq lists it as uncharacterized. The record is from RefSeq and is a predicted model, not a curated record. The transcript has 4 exons. NCBI's taxonomy places the organism in Eukaryota, Metazoa, Chordata, Actinopteri, Syngnathiformes, Syngnathidae.